RNAcentral lists this ribosomal RNA (1451 nucleotides) under metagenome. Its description in RNAcentral is "bacterial SSU rRNA". It matches the Rfam family "Bacterial small subunit ribosomal RNA". The record is from RNAcentral.
AGAGUUUGAUCCUGGCUCAGGAUGAACGCUGGCGGCGUGCCUAAUACAUGCAAGUCGAACUGACCUAGCAAUAGGUUAGUGGCGACCGGGUGCGUAACACGUAGCUGACCUGCCCCUCAGCGGGGGACAACAGGACGAAAGUUCUGCUAAUACCGCAUACAUUUAGAGCUUUUUGAAAACUCUAAAGAAACUUACGGGGCUGAGGGAGGGAGCUGCGGCCCAUCAGGUAGUUGGUGAGGUAACGGCUCACCAAGCCAACGACGGGUAGGGGGCCUGAGAGGGUGGUCCCCCACACUGGGACUGACACACGGCCCAGACUCCUACGGGAGGCAGCAGUAAGGGAUAUUGCGCAAUGGGCGAAAGCCUGACGCAGCAAUGCCGCGUGAAGGAUGAAGGCCUUCGGGUCGUAAACUUCUUUUCUCGCUGACGAGGAAGGACGGUAGGCGAGGAAUCAGUCACGGCUAACUACGUGCCAGCAGCCGCGGUAAAACGUAGGUGGCGAGCGUUAUCCGGAUUUACUGGGCGUAAAGCGUGUGCAGGCGGGGGAACAAGUGGUGUAUGAAAUCGCUCAGCUAAACCGGGCGGGGUUAUGCCAGACUGUUCCUCUAGAGUGCGAGAGAGGGGCGUGGAAUUCCGGGUGUAGUGGUGAAAUGCGUAGAGAUCCGGAGGAACCCCAGAGGCGAAGGCGGCGCCCUGGCUCGCAACUGACGCUCAGACACGACAGCAUGGGGAGCGAACGGGAUUAGAAACCCCGGUAGUCCAUGCCGUAAACGAUGCACACUAGGCGCUGACGGUCUCAACCCCGCCGGUGCCGCAGCUAACGCGAUAAGUGUGCCGCCUGGGGAGUACGGCCGCAAGGCUAAAACUCAAAGGAAUUGACGGGGGCCCGCACAAGCAGCGGAGCGUGUGGUUUAAUUCGAGGCUACACGAAGAACCUUACCUGGGUUUGACAUGCAGGUGGUAGGGAAGUGAAAGCGGACCGACCGCAAGGAGCCUGCACAGGUGCUGCAUGGCUGUCGUCAGCUCGUGCCGUGAGGUGUUAGGUUAAGUCCUGUAACGAGCGCAACCCCCGGGUCCAGUUACACGUUGUCUGGACCGACUGCCCGUGACAAGCGGGAGGAAGGUGGGGAUGACGUCGAGUCAGCAUGGCCUUUAUAUCCAGGGCUACACACACGCUACAAUGGCCGGUACAAUGGGUCGCCAAGCCGCAAGGCGGAGCCAAUCCAGACAAAGCCGGUCACAGUUCGGAUUGUGGGCUGCAACCCGCCCACAUGAAGUCGGAGUUGCUAGUAACCGCCGGUCAGCCAUACGGCGGUGAAUACGUUCCCGGGCCUUGUACACACCGCCCGUCACGUCAUGGGAGCUGGUCACGCCUGAAGCCGGUGGGCUAACCGCAAGGAGGCAACCGUCCAAGGCAGGGUCGGUGACUGGGACGAAGUCGUAACAAGGUA